UGUAAUUAAAACCACAUGUCUUUGUACAGAGACUCUUAUCUGAGUUAUUUCACAUCAGGUCUCUUAUCAAAUCUCAAACACAAUCGGAAUGUCGAAACAACACGGUCUUGUUAUUCUAUUCUCUUUGUUGGCAGCAACAGAGGGAACAGAUUGUCCUGAUGGAUGGCUGGCAUUUGAUUGCUCGUGCUACUUGUUUCCGAAAACACCCGCGCGCUUCUGGGAAGCUGUGCACUACUGUCAGAUACAUGGUGGGAACCUUAUCCACGUUGAUUCAGACAUGGAAAAUUACUUCAUUAAAAAUUGUCUACGAGGUGUGCGCCGACCAAAUGGUAUGACAUUAUAUUACAGUAUUUAUUUGUAAUCAAAGUGACCAGUUUCUGGUUAGCGACU
Molecule: long non-coding RNA, 390 nt
Organism: Dreissena polymorpha
Lineage: Eukaryota; Metazoa; Mollusca; Bivalvia; Myida; Dreissenidae
Exons: 3
Source: RefSeq, a predicted model, not a curated record